This 451-nucleotide ribosomal RNA is filed under the name uncultured bacterium. RNAcentral describes it as "partial 16S ribosomal RNA". It matches the Rfam family "Bacterial small subunit ribosomal RNA", at positions 354 to 796 of the family's 1533-position model. The record is from RNAcentral.
GUGGGGAAUAUUGGACAAUGGGGGGAACCCUGAUCCAGCCAUGCCGCGUGUGUGAAGAAGGCCUUUUGGUUGUAUAGCACUUUAAGCGAGGAGGAGGCUACCGAGAUUAAUACUCUUGGAUAGUGGACGUUACUCGCAGAAUAAGCACCGGCUAACUCUGUGCCAGCCGCCGCGGUAAUACAGAGGGUGCAAGCGUUAAUCGGAUUUACUGGGCGUAAAGCGCGCGAAGGUGGGCAAUUAAGUCAAAUGUGAAAUGCCCGGACUUAACAUGGGAAUUGCAUUCGAUACUGGUUGGCUAGAGUAUUGGAGAGGAUGGUAGAAUUCCAGGUGUAGCGGUGAAAUGCGUAGAGAUCUGGAGGAAUACCGAUUGCGAAGGCAGCCAUCUGGCCUAAUACUGACACUGAGGUGCGAAAGCAUGGGGAGCAAACAGGAUUAGAUACCCUUGUAGUCC